RNAcentral lists this long non-coding RNA (225 nucleotides) under Cairina moschata (Muscovy duck). RNAcentral's name for it is "domestica (muscovy Duck (domestic type)) lncRNA (ENSCMMG00000006982.1)". Lineage: Eukaryota; Metazoa; Chordata; Aves; Anseriformes; Anatidae. The record is from RNAcentral.
GAGAAGUCUCAAAAAGAAAAUCCUUCAGAUGAUCCGCAUGCUGACAGAAGAAAACGACACAAGUCAGACAGCAUUUCGUUGACAUUUGAUGAAAGUCUCUCAUGGUGUGUAGUCAGUGGGCUGUGCCGUGAAAGAAGCAAUAGCAGCGAUUCAACAGAUUCUCUUUCCAUUCCUGAUCUCGAUGCCAGUUCACUAAGCGAAAACUCCGAUUGGUUUGACCAUAGU